This 253-nucleotide ribosomal RNA is filed under the name uncultured bacterium. RNAcentral's name for it is "partial 16S ribosomal RNA". It matches the Rfam family "Bacterial small subunit ribosomal RNA", at positions 524 to 776 of the family's 1533-position model. The record is from RNAcentral.
UACGUAGGCAGCAAGCGUUGUUCGGAAUUACUGGGCGUAAAGAGUGUGUAGGCGGUGCUCUAAGUCUGUCGUGAAAUCUCCCGGCUUAACUGGGAGGGUGCGGCGGAAACUGGAAUGCUAGAGGGUGGGAGAGGAAAGCGGAAUUCCUGGUGUAGCGGUGAAAUGCGUAGAUAUCUGGAGGAACACCGGUGGCGAAGGCGGCAUCCUGGACCGACACUGACACUGAGGAGCGAAAGCCAGGGGAGCAAACGGG